This 243-nucleotide ribosomal RNA is filed under the name uncultured bacterium. Its description in RNAcentral is "partial 16S ribosomal RNA". It matches the Rfam family "Bacterial small subunit ribosomal RNA", at positions 86 to 334 of the family's 1533-position model. The record is from RNAcentral.
AGAUGGCGACCGGCGCACGGGUGAGUAACACGAUCAACCUGCCGAUAACUCGGGGAUAGCCUUUCGAAAGAAAGAUUAUACCGAUGGUAUAAUCAGACCGCAUGGUUUGAUUAUUAAAGAAUUUCGGUUAUCGAUGGGGAUGCGUUCCAUUAGGCAGUUGGUGAGGUAACGGCUCACCAAACCUUCGAUGGAUAGGGGUUCUGAGAGGAAGGUCCCCCACAUUGGAACUGAGACACGGUCCAA